GGCUGCAUCAGCUGUGCGAUCACGGGUCAAAGCAAUGGCUGGGAUUGGUGAUAGGGACCUCGAGAGGUGGCUUACGCCGUAUGUUAUGCACGAAACUUUGCGUCCGAGAGCUAUUGCAAUGACUAUAGGAUCCAAAGCUGUGCGGUGGUUGCAGACAUAGAGGUUUCCUGGGGUUCCAGGAGAUGGGGCAGGAGGUCGUGUGCCGCGGAUAACCAGGUGGAUGCCUAGCAUCUCGUAUGUGUAGCGUACGAUGAGUUCUGGGAGUGGGAGAUUGAAGUAAACGCGAAGGAGGGAGAGGAUGAAACCAAACGGCAGCCAAAUAUAGGUAAUAAGGGCAUUGAGAGGGUCAGGUCGCUGAACGAGGCGGCCUUCAUGGAAGAUUAUACGACUUUUGAGGCGAUCCGGUGGCACUGGAGUUGCUGAUUUGCUACGACGGAGCUGGUAGCCCUCCUUGCAAAUGGACAUGAAAGCAUGAUCGGUCUUGCGGUCACCAAGCCCAAGAUCCGGUACUUUCCCUCCAAACUCUUUCAAAAUGGCCAACUUCUUCCUUUUGCCCACCAACACGCCUGGCCUCUUCACAAAUCCGGUGGCCCUCUUAGUCUUGGUUACUUCGAUUUCUGUACCCAGAACCUUGUCUCCUCCAAGAAAUUCCUUCACAAAUGGCUCCACCAUUAUCCUCGGACUCGCCGUCACCACCACCUUCCGCUUGCACCUAUCAAAAACCUCAUAGCUCUCCUUCCUCACAUCCGCAGCAUAAAACCUGGGCAAGACAUUGCGGGAAGCCAGCUCGAUG
RNAcentral lists this unclassified non-coding RNA (793 nucleotides) under Hevea brasiliensis (rubber tree). The record is from RNAcentral. Lineage: Eukaryota; Viridiplantae; Streptophyta; Magnoliopsida; Malpighiales; Euphorbiaceae.